This 351-nucleotide long non-coding RNA is filed under the name Lathyrus oleraceus (garden pea). RNAcentral describes it as "Pisum sativum (pea) long non-coding RNA (PSAT_LNC036289)". The record is from RNAcentral. Lineage: Eukaryota; Viridiplantae; Streptophyta; Magnoliopsida; Fabales; Fabaceae.
CUUCGUGGCCUCUUGAUUUGCCAGCUCAAUUAAUGAGCUUAGAUCAGACGGUCCACGCUUUUUACAAUUUCUAUUUUCUGUUUUAUUUUCCUUUUAUUUUCUUUAAUUCCAAUUAUUUUCAAAAAUCAAUAUCUCUUUCAUUUUUUAUCCAAAAAUUAUGGGACCAAUUGCAUUAGUUCCCAAAUAAAUUCUAGUUUCUAUUUCUGAUUUUUAUUUUAUUUUUAUUUUGUCAUUUGAUAUUUUUUGUGAAUUUUCUCUUUUCUGGUUAUUUUUAAUUCAUUUUAAAUCGUUUUUGAUAUUCAAAAAAUGCAAAAAUAUUUUCCUAACCUAUUUUAAUGAUGAUCAAUCUAU